Long non-coding RNA from Cavia porcellus (domestic guinea pig), 5346 nucleotides. RefSeq lists it as uncharacterized. Lineage: Eukaryota; Metazoa; Chordata; Mammalia; Rodentia; Caviidae. The record is from RefSeq and is a predicted model, not a curated record. The transcript has 4 exons.
CCGGGCCGGGCCGGGCGGAGCGGGAGGGGCGGGGCAAGGCUGGGCGAGCAGCCCGGGAGCGGCCGCACGCCGCCGACCGCAGCCGAGACUCCCCCUGACAGCCACUGCCUCCCCGGAGCUGCGGGUGCAGCAGCGUGUUUCCUGACGCCUGAGGCCUUAGGUCUUGGUUUUUCUCGCCUGAAGCAGCAAUCGGAACACAAUUAGCUCUUAGUCAAUGGAUGCCAAAGAUCUACCCGGAGACCGGCUCAGACUCCGCGGGUUUAACGUGGGUUCUUCGCUCGAGGGAAUUGCGGUUACGCUUAGGAGACCAAGGGGGUCACAGGCACAGUCUGGACCGCAGCACAGAAAACUCUGGCCCUACGUCCGCCAAGUAAGGCGACCGGUGUCGGCGGCUCCCAACAGAGUCCUAAGAAGACAGCAGACAAAUGGAUACUGGCAACAGAAAGAAAAGGAGAUCAACUUUAUAACAUUCCAUAUAUGAAUGUGAGGCACGGUGGUACAUUCCUUAAUCCCAGCACUCGGGAGGUUGAGGUAGGAGGAUCCCACAGAUUUGAGGUGAGUCUGGGCUAUAUAGUGAGUUCAAAACUGGCCUGAAUUACAGACAGAGACCCUGUCUCAAGACACAAAAACAAACAAAUAGAAACCCAACUAUGUGUGCGUGCGUGUGUGAUGAGAUCAUAUGGGAGUUAUCUAUGUCUGGCUUGUUUCACUUAACAUAAUGAUCCCCAGUUUCAUCCACAAUGUCACUAAUGAUAGGGUUUCAUUUGUUUCAUGAUGAAUAGUAUUCUACUAUACAUACAUACCACAUUUUCUGUAUCAGUCAUCAGUAGAUGGAUCGUCGUUUCUAUUUUGUGACUAUUGUGAAUAGCUUCAAUAAACAUGGGAGUGUAGAUACUUGUGAACACUGAUUUCAGUUCCCUUGAAUACACAUCUAGUAGAUUACUGAAUUAUACAGCACUUUAGUUUCAUUUUUAACUUUUUAAGACCUCUACACUGUUUUCUGCAAUUGCUAUUCUAGAUUAUUCAUUCUCACCAACAGUGUGCAAGCAAGGGUUCCUGAUUCUACUUCCUCUCCAGUUGUUUGCUUUUUUGGUACUGGAAAUCAUACCCAGAGAUACUGUAUCACAGGGAUACACCUAAGCCUAUUUAUUAUUUAUUUUUCAGACAAGAUCUGAAAAAGUUGUCCAGGUUGGCCUCAAACAUGUGACCUUCCUGCCUCAGCCACCAGUGUAGCUGGGAUUACAGGUGUUUGCCACCACACCAGCUUGUCUUUUUGAUAAAAGUCAUUCUACCUAGAGUACGGUGUCAUCUCACUAUGGCUUUCAUCUGCACUUCCCUGGUAGUUAGUUCAACAUUUUUGCAUACACAUGCUAUCCAUUUGUGUCUCAUUCUAAGAAACGUGUGUUUAGGUUCUUUGUUUUUUAGUCAGGAGUUUGUUUGGGGGGGGUUGUUUUUGCUAUUGAUUCUUUUCCAUUUCUCAUCUAUUAGACACAUCUGAAUGGGAGACUCAGUAGAGACAUUUAUUAGUGCUUAAAGGAUUCAGAACAGGAAACAAAAAGACAGAAAUAAAUUGGUCCAGUAAGGAAAGCAGGAUGGUAGAUAUAGUAGCACCAUGAACCUGGGAAUUUUAGCAGUAUUUCACAUUGGACUCUUUCUGUAUUCUUUCUGGAUUCAAGAUUGUGUAUUUCAGUGUUUAAGAGAAUAUAUUUAAGCAGGACUAAGGCAAUGCAGUGACAGAUCUUACUCAUAAUUUUAGUAUUGUAUAAAACUAAAGCAUUCUUCCUCCCAGGCAUUUGCAACACAAAACAUACUCUUUCAUUACACAGAUUGUAUAUGGUAUUUGGCACACUAUGUGGGGAAGCCAGCAUGCACCCAAACAAUUAAUGCUGGAAGAAAGUAUUUUUCGUAUAGUAUCUUUUAGACUAUAGGAAUAUGCAUCUCUAUCAAUAACAGGAGAUUGCAAUGUUGAAUCAGAAAUUUUGGAAAAUUAAUUUACUUCUGUAAGUUCUAACUUUCUCAUAAAACAGGGGCUUCAGUGAGCAAUAAAUGACCUCAAAGUUCACCUGACAAACAAAAAAUACGUUUCUAGGUGUUACGACUUUUGUGUAGAUGUUCCCCCAAAGCCUCGUUGCCAAAGAAGUCAUGAUGGAGGGGGCAGGGUUUUUGGAGUUGGUUGAAUUUAGAGUGUAUGACACUGGAAUUACGGGUGUGUGAUUAGCAAAUUAGUCCACUGAUUAGUUGGCACAGUUCUGGUAGGAUUGAGGGUGUGAGUGCUACGCCUGCCCUGAGCAGGUGUCCUUCAUACACUGUAAGGGACAGGAAGAGCUUUUUCCCCUUUGUUACUUUUGCUAUCUUAUAGGCUGUGCAAUGAAGUGCUUUCCUCUACAAUAGCCCUCUGCCAACUCACUCUGUCUUGGAGCGAGCUAAUCACAAGCAAAAACUUCUACAAACUGUGAACUAAAUAAACCUUCCCCCCUUUAACUUUGGAUGUCAGGUAUUUGGUCUCAGCAACGAGAGAAAGAUAACUGAGACACUAGGGCUACAUUUUGGUGUGAAUUUCCUUUCUGUUGCCAUCUUCAGAUUCAGGGCUCUUGGUCUUCCUUUGGGGAACAGCUUUUCCUCUUCAUGAUGAUGUGAAAUCUAGCUAUGCGUACCAGAAGUGAUGUUAGUCAAGUCCUGGAAGUGCUGUCAGCAAUAGCUGGUCAGCCCCUUUCAACAUAUUCUCCCUAAAGAGUCUAAGUGCCUUUUUCUCAACCCCUAAUACCUGUCAUCUGAUGCUCCCUCUUGAACUUUCCUCAUUAUCUCCAAACGUAAGAUGAGGGCCUUAAAUCAUAAAUCAUAUAUUGAAUCUCUCCUGUUCAAAAGCAUUAUCCUCGGCAUUGUGGAAAACUGAAGGCAUUUGACAAACACUAUGAAUGUCUAAAUGACAGUGACGAAUUGAUCAGAGCAUGAUAUCAUAGUGAACAACUAAAAAAGUCUCAAAUCUAGAUACAACAGAAAGGUCACUUCUCUCUCAUAUACUUUUAUAUUAUUAUAAAUUUUCACUAAGAUAUUUGGUUCCCAGGGACGUUGGACCUGGCAAUUUCCCAGAAUCUGGAAUCCUAAAUGCCUACUGGGCUUUUCUGAAUCUCAGUAACAGUUGAAGAAAGAGUAUGGUGGAUAAUGUGAGAGGACUUUAGGAACCAGGCCUCAAACUGGCAUAUGCACAAAGUGAUCAAAAAAUACAGUGACUGUUUAAAAAAUGUAUUUUAGCUAAAGACACAUUGUAGAUAAUUCCCUUCAAUCCCCCUCGCCUCCAAAUACAUAUCAUUUUUGCUGAUUUCUGAAGCUAUUCUGGAAGUCCUCCUUCUUGGCUUUAAAACUGACCAAAAACUAUGGUGACUGCAGUUGCUCAAUGUUAACCAACAAAAGAGGCAAGCUUAGAAAAACACUAGGGUGUACCCUCAUCUACCCUGCUCACCAGAUAUGGCACUAUGCAACUUUCUGUCUGCUCUCCAAGGUCAAAGUGAUCAUGAAAGGCACACAUUUUGAAUUGAUUCAAGAUAUUGAGCAGUCGUAAUAGCACCACUAAAGACAUUCAUGAAAGAGUACUUUUAGAACUUCAAAACAUAACAAGAAUGAUGUGCAUUCAGUGUGAAUGGGGGUAUUUUGAGGGAGAUUAAUGACAGCAAUAUGUCAUUUAUUGUAGUAAAUUAUUUUUAAAAGUUAAACAUUUAGGUUUAUUGAUUACACCUGGGUGUUUCCUUUGCCCAAUGUUGUAUUGGCCACAGUCUCAUCUGGAACAGCUAAUGGAAAAUGAGCUGGGAAAUGAGGUUUAUCUGCAUGUGCAGAAGGAAGAGGAAACAAGGCUGAUAAACAGAUACUGUAAUAAUCCCAACUACAACUAAGAUGGAGAUAAAGUGAGUGCCAUGGAGAAUCAAAGCAGGGAGUUCAUGUCUUCUGAAAGGUGGUAAGGAAAGCUUCAGAAAAGUAGUUGCUUCUCAACUUGGCCCUGAACAGUCACAAAGAUUUCAACUGCUGCACAAAAGGAAGAUACAGAUUUUAUGGUUAAGAUCAUUAAGACAAAGCUGGUAAAGAACGCUAGGCACAGAUCAAAGAUGGCUAUAAUUUCCAAGUUUAAGAGUUUAUUUCGUUUUCAUCUGCAGACAUUAAGAAUCCAGUAAGUUUCUUUUCCAGAUUUAUUAAUGAAGAUAUCACACUAGCCAUCAGUAUAAGAGAAAUCUGAGAAUAAUAUUGUGUCAUCAUUAAUUGUAAACUCACAGAGCAAGAUGCCCUUUAUGGUGGAAUAAAAAUUAUAUAUAUAUAUAUAUAUAUGUAUAUAUAUAUAUAUAUAUAUAUACUUAACAUAUAUAUGGAUUUAAUAGAAAAAUAUACGUAAAACGUCAAGUUUCUGUUUUAAAGACCUCUUUGUGUCUUGAGAGGCAAAUGCCAUACUGAGUUAAUGUAUAUGCAAAUAGACUUAGUUAAUCCACAAAGUUAUAUAAAUACAGAACAUUAUUUUGUUGGGUUUAUGACCUUAAAUGUGACAGCUUUCAUGGGUCACUCAUUACAGUACACAGCAGAUGUGAGUCCACAAUCAGGCUCAUCUAUGACUCUUGAUGUGUUGGAGAUUAGUUAACCAAACCCUUAAAGCAGCUCUGCCAUUUUUCUGCAUUCUGUAAUGUAGUUAACAUUUAAACUUGAUUGAUUUCCUUUUAACUUAACUUGCUCUUGUUAGAAUCACUUCACUCAAUGGAGUCACCUUUGGUACAAGCUAUAGAUUUUCAAUUUAAGAUUCCUGAACAUUUUAGAAACAUUUUUGUUGAUUAAAAUAAAAAGUAUUCUUGUUUUCCAGUGAUUUCAUGCCUUACCCACUGAGCAGGAUAUACAAAAGCUUGAGAAUCAAAUGGUGAAACGAACAGUGUGCAGAUCUUCCGUCACACACGGUCUGUUCAAUUUACUCAUGGAGAUAAUGUUGCGUUGACAAUUCUGCACUCAUCCACUUUUUCUUGUGUUUAUGUUUGUUUAAAUAGGCAUACACUACAAUCUCUGUAAGUUUAUGAACAAUCAGUUUGGAUGGACCAGAGUCUGAAUCAAAUGCUUUUCAGUUUUCCUCUAGGUCAGUAUUUCUAAACCACAAAUCACCUGGAGAAUCCUAUAUGCCAACACUUGGUGCCGCCUUAUUGUCCUAUAUAAAAUGCUGAACUGGAGUUUUACUCUUCCUCGAAUGAAGUGGCAUCUUUAUUUAUGUCGACUGCCUCUUCUCUUCAUUGCCGCAGUGCACUGUGGACAGUACCAUUUUCCCUUUGGCGCUUCUGUCAAUCCAACACAUCCAUAAUGGAACCAUUCUAUUGGGCACUAAAAGGC